GAAAUGCGAUAAGUAGUGUGAAUUGCAGAAUUCAGUGAAUCAUCGAAUCUUUGAACGCACAUUGCGCCCUUUGGUAUUCCAAAGGGCAUGCCUGUUCGAGCGUCAUUUGUACCCUCAAGCUUUGCUUGGUGUUGGGCGUCUUGUCUCUAGCUUUGCUGGAGACUCGCCUUAAAGUAAUUGGCAGCCGGCCUACUGGUUUCGGAGCGCAGCACAAGUCGCACUCUCUAUCAGCAAAGGUCUAGCAUCCAUUAAGCCUUUUUUCAACUUUUGACCUCGGAUCAGGUAGGGAUGCCCGCUGAACUUAAGC
Molecule: unclassified non-coding RNA, 307 nt
Filed under: plant metagenome
Description: partial contains 5.8S ribosomal RNA, internal transcribed spacer 2, and large subunit ribosomal RNA
Rfam family: 5.8S ribosomal RNA (bases 1-105)
Source: RNAcentral